UUCAACAAAAUUGGUGGGGAAGACAUCUGCACAGAAUUAGAAAAAUAAUAAAUGCAGACAUGGUACCUUAGAGUGCUGGAAAAGGCACCCCACCCUCGGGGAAGCUGAUCUGAGAGGCAUGCAGGGCGUCCUGGUGUGGGGAGCUGUGUGGAGAGUGCGUCUGGAGGCAGUGAGUCUUACUUCCUUACUUUGUAGCCAUGCAGCUCAGCAGCCUCAGGGAGAGUCAGCUCCCUGCAAUUUGCUUUCCAGGAACCGUGGAGCAUGCAACACAUCCCGGCACUGUUUUCAGCCUUCUGUGGCCUCUUGGUCGCCCUUUCCUACCAUCUGAGCCGGCAGAGCAGUGACCCAUCUGUACUCAUGUCCUUCAUCCAAUGCAGGCUGUUUCCUAAAUUUUUACAUCAAAAUCUGGAAGAGUCAGCUGCUGACCCUCUCCCCAAGAAGAUGAAAGAUUCAGUGAUGGAUGUCUUAAAAUGGGAUCUCAUCGUCUGCGCAGUGGUUGCUGUCCUCUCAUUUGCAGUCAGCGCCAGCACUGUAUUCCUGUCAUUGCGACCAUUUCUCAGCAUCGUGCUGUUUGCCUUGGCUGGAGCCGUGGGGUUUGUAACACAUUACGUGCUCCCUCAGCUCCGCAAGCAUCAUCCCUGGAUGUGGAUUUCACACCCCAUUCUCAAAAACAAAGAGUAUCAUCAACGGGAAGUGAGAGAUGUCGCCCAUUUAAUGUGGUUCGAAAGACUCUAUGUUUGGCUUCAG
RNAcentral lists this small RNA (747 nucleotides) under Pongo abelii (Sumatran orangutan). RNAcentral describes it as "processed transcript". The record is from RNAcentral. Lineage: Eukaryota; Metazoa; Chordata; Mammalia; Primates; Hominidae.